GACGGAGGGGGCAAGCGUUGUCCGGACUCACUGGGCGUAAAGGGUGCGCAGGCGGCAGAGCGCGUCCGCGCUGAAAUCUGUCGGCUUAACUGACAGGCGCGUGCGGAUACGGCUCAGCUCGAGGCACGGAGAGGGUGGGGGAACUCCUGGUGUAGUGGUGAAAUGCGUAGGGAUCAGGAAGAACACCCGUGGCGCAAGCGCCCACCUGGCCGUGACCUGACGCUGCGGCACGAAAGCGUGGGGAGCGAACCGG
This 253-nucleotide ribosomal RNA is filed under the name uncultured bacterium. RNAcentral's name for it is "partial 16S ribosomal RNA". It matches the Rfam family "Bacterial small subunit ribosomal RNA", at positions 524 to 776 of the family's 1533-position model. The record is from RNAcentral.